Molecule: ribosomal RNA, 423 nt
Filed under: uncultured bacterium
Lineage: Bacteria
Description: bacterial SSU rRNA
Rfam family: Bacterial small subunit ribosomal RNA
Source: RNAcentral
AAGACCUUGCACUUUUGGAGCGGCCGAUGUCUGAUUAGCUAGUUGGUGGGGUAAUGGCCUACCAAAGCUUCGAUCAGUAGCUGGUCUGAGAGGACGGCCAGCCACACUGGGACUGAGACACGGCCCAGACUCCUACGGGAGGCAGCAGUGGGGAAUUUUGGACAAUGGGCGCAAGCCUGAUCCAGCCAUGCCGCGUGAGUGAAGAAGGCCUUCGGGUUGUAAAGCUCUUUCAGCCGGGAAGAAAAGGUUGCGACUAAUAAUCGCAAUUCAUGACGGUACCGAAAGAAGAAGCACCGGCUAACUACGUGCCAGCAGCCGCGGUAAUACGUAGGGUACGAGCGUUAAUCGGAAUUACUGGGCGUAAAGGGUGCGCAGGCGGUUUUGUAAGUCAGAUGUGAAAUCCCCGGGCUUAACCUGGGAACU